Long non-coding RNA from Octopus sinensis (East Asian common octopus), 151 nucleotides. RefSeq lists it as uncharacterized. NCBI's taxonomy places the organism in Eukaryota, Metazoa, Mollusca, Cephalopoda, Octopoda, Octopodidae. The record is from RefSeq and is a predicted model, not a curated record. The transcript is spliced from 3 exons.
AUGAAGAAAAUCCUGGAGUUUGUGUAAGGAUCCCCCAAAACAGCAACCAAAGACGAAUAUCCAUGCCAAAAAAGCUAUGCUUUGUGUUUGAUAGAAUCAUAAAGGCAUUAUUUAUUAUGAGCUUUUCCCACAGAACCAGUCCAUUAAUUCU